RNAcentral lists this ribosomal RNA (506 nucleotides) under uncultured bacterium. Its description in RNAcentral is "bacterial SSU rRNA". It matches the Rfam family "Bacterial small subunit ribosomal RNA", at positions 8 to 518 of the family's 1533-position model. The record is from RNAcentral.
AGGGUUCGAUUCUGGCUCAGAACGAACGCUGGCGGCGCGUCUUAAGCAUGCAAGUCGGACGGCAAGGGUUGUGCUUGCACAACUCCUAGAGUGGCGGACUGGUGAGUAACGCGUGGGUGACCUGCCCUCGAGAUGGGGAUAGCCAUUAGAAAUAGUGGAUAAUACCGAAUACGCUCAUGACCCUGUGGGGAUAUGAAGGAAAAACAGGCUACGGCCUGGCUCGAGGAUGGGCCCGCGUCCGAUUAGAUAGUUGGUGAGGUAACGGCCCACCAAGUCGACGAUCGGUAGCCGGACUGAGAGGUUGAACGGCCACAUUGGAACUGAGAAACGGUCCAGACUCCUACGGGAGGCAGCAGUGGGGAAUAUUGGGCAAUUGGGCGAAAGCCUGACCCAGCGACGCCGCGUGAGGGAAGACGGUCUUCGGAUUGUAAACCUUAGUUAUUGGGGAAGAAACAAAUGACGGUACCCAAAGAGAAAGCCACGGCUAACUACGUGCCAGCAGCGGC